Molecule: long non-coding RNA, 753 nt
Organism: Anneissia japonica
Lineage: Eukaryota; Metazoa; Echinodermata; Crinoidea; Comatulida; Comatulidae
Exons: 3
Source: RefSeq, a predicted model, not a curated record
AAUGUUAUUUUUAAAUUUAAUUUUUUGUUGCUUUUUUAAUUUAAUUUUUUGUUUGUUUUGUUUUGUUUUUGUUUUUGUUAUUUUUUAGAUAGCAAAGAUUACCGUACCACAUUAAAUAUAAUAAGUAACAUUUAUAAAGCAUCUUUUACUGUUGUCUCACAGCACUAUAAGACCAUUAAUCUACUGGAACAGAUGAGUUUUAAAAAAGUUUAUUAAAAAGAAUAUUAGAGACUGCAUGGAAGCAUGAGCACCAAGUGUUAUGUGCAUGAUAUGUAACAUUUAACUUCUUUUAUAGCUUAAUUCUAAAAUCUGUAUGAAAGUAUGGUGAAGGCAAACCUCACCUGUAUAUGUAAAUCAGUUGGCCAUUGUUACUGAAUGAGUUAGCCAUUGUUACUGUGUUUUGUUAGCUAGUGCAGUAGUGUGUUGCACUGUGAGAGCACAGUAUAGAACUGGCCUGUGCAGUUAAGAGUAUUUAGCUUUCCUGUGUAGCUAAUGUUCCUCCAAUCCAGUUUACCGGAUGGACAAGUAAGAAAUAAAUGGAAAGAAGAAGGCAUUUUGCUUGUGUUAAUUUAAUUGUUUCAUCUGUGUUGAACCAAUGGGGUUGCAUACAUGACAGUACAUUCGCCAGUUGAUUCACAUGUUGUUGACCCACUAAUGGUACCUGCAGCGUUACAUGUGCAUGGUUCGCAGCCAUUCACAUUGCUCCCUUGUAAGUUGAAGAAUCCUGUAACACACUGAUCACACCGACGUCCU